Long non-coding RNA from Pezoporus occidentalis (night parrot), 1446 nucleotides. RefSeq lists it as uncharacterized. The transcript is spliced from 3 exons. The record is from RefSeq and is a predicted model, not a curated record. Lineage: Eukaryota; Metazoa; Chordata; Aves; Psittaciformes; Psittacidae.
UUUGUGAGUGAAAAAGGGGCAACUCACAGGUGAGCCAAGUACGUUAGCUCUCAGGUCAAAGCAGAUUAAUAGUAGAUCCAGAGUACAGAUUGCUCUACAGGGACCUUUAUGGAAAUACUCAGGGAGUGCUUCCUGUGUGUUACAGCUCAGGAAUGAUGAGUGUUUUUUUAUGUUUUUACGUCCUACUUGAAUGUAAUCAGUGCCUAGAAAAUGGAAAACAUUGAAAGGAAAAUCAAUGUUACUCAAGAAUGGAAGGCAGGAAAGGAAUGAGGAUAAGACAUGGAAUAGUGCUCAGAGAGAUGGGAUUAAAUGGUCUGCACUGUGCCACUACAGGAAAAUAAAGGAUGUUAUCUCACAUUAAUGUACAACUUUAUAUAAUUUUUGAUUUACAUAAUAACAUAGAUGUUGCUUUCAAAACUGAGUAGAAAUCCUGUAUAGCCAUAAACUAUAUUGGGAGGCCAGAUAGGGCAAUCCUCAAAGGUGUCAGAAGAGUUCUCUUAGGGAAUUUCUGAACCUCCCAUUAAUUCUGUCACAAUCUCAAAUAAUGUGUCACAAAAGCCUUUCCUCCAAUCAUAGUAAUGAUGUUGAGAGCCAUCAGCUUUCUGUGCAAUAAUACUAAGUAUUGUUUAAUCGAUUAUGUUAUCAGUCAUUAUAAAAUGUCAUUUAUUUUAAUGCCUCUAAAAAGUCAUCAUAUUUAAGACUUGCAGGAGAUUCUGAAUAAUAUUCAGAGACAAAAUUAAAAUUCCUAUUUAAUAAAAAAAUAUUUGUUGCAACUGCUGUUAUACUAUUUCAAUGCCAAAUUUAAAGAAUUAUCUUGCCUGCACUGGUUUGCUUGGUGAUAGAGCUAUGUGCAUGUGCAAAAUUUGUUUCUAGCAAGCAGUUUUUAACAGAUAAACAUAAAAUAGAAAUAUAGUAAACUGCAAAUUUUUCAGGUAAUUCUGAUUUUAAGAUCUAUUGUUGAAAAUUGAAAUUUAACUAGCUGAACACUAAUUGACCAUUUAUUAGAAAUAUACACCUUCAUUUAAAUUUCAGAUGAUUUGUGGGCCAUAAUUUCAGUCAGAAGAUAGAAAAAAUAAAUCACACUAUUUUCAGAACAUUUUUGAUUUAAUCUUCUGAGAAUUAUCAGCCAUAUUUAUAGAUAGCAUUUCACUUGAUUUAUUAAAUGAUUCUACAGAUAGUGUUUUACAGAGCAUAAAAUCAUGGAGCUUAACACUAAGGUGACCUUCAUCCGAAAUGUGCAUACGAAAAUGAUCAGUUUAUGUAAGGAUAGCCAUUAUUAUUGUUUAGCUUCAUGAAAUAAUAAUUUCCAUUUAUGCAACAACCACUGCUGGUCUGCUCAAAUAAUUUACCUAUAGUGUAUCUUCCAGGUUUAGUUGGUAGCAAACCCAAAAAUCUAAAGCAUGCAAGCAUGGUCAUAUGGGUUUUAUGAUUUGAUUAUACAAUAUU